Molecule: ribosomal RNA, 506 nt
Filed under: uncultured bacterium
Lineage: Bacteria
Description: partial 16S ribosomal RNA
Rfam family: Bacterial small subunit ribosomal RNA
Source: RNAcentral
AGUGAACGCUGGCGGUAGGCCUAACACAUGCAAGUCGAACGGCAGCACAGGAGAGCUUGCUCUCUGGGUGGCGAGUGGCGGACGGGUGAGGAAUACAUCGGAAUCUACUCUGUCGUGGGGGAUAACGUAGGGAAACUUACGCUAAUACCGCAUACGACCUACGGGUGAAAGCAGGGGACCUUCGGGCCUUGCGCGAUUGAAUGAGCCGAUGUCGGAUUAGCUAGUUGGCGGGGUGAAGGCCCACCAAGGCGACGAUCCGUAGCUGGUCUGAGAGGAUGAUCAGCCACACUGGAACUGAGACACGGUCCAGACUCCUACGGGAGGCAGCAGUGGGGAAUAUUGGACGAUGGGCGCAAGCCUGAUCCAGCCAUACCGCGUGGGUGAAGAAGGCCUUCGGGUUGUAAAGCCCUUUUGUUGGGAAAGAAAUCCAGCUGGCUAAUACCCGGUUGGGAUGACGGUACCCAAAGAAUAAGCACCGGCUAACUUCGUGCCAGCCGCCGCAGUAA